GUAACGGAUAAACAAAAAUAAGUUGAACAUUUAGACAUUCUUUGUCAUGCGGCGGUAAUUAAACCUAAAAAAUUAAUUAUUGUCUUUUUCUUUUUCUUUUUCUGCUAAAUCAUCAAUUGCAGUAUUUGUGGCCAAAAGAAAAGAAUCAUAGGCCUCCUAAGUAAAAAUAAGGUAAAUUUUCCUUUAUAAAUUUAAAAGAAUAAACAAAUAAAAAAGAAAGAAGGUACACUUUCGCUCCUAUGGUUCAAUU
RNAcentral lists this long non-coding RNA (250 nucleotides) under Ricinus communis (castor bean). RNAcentral's name for it is "long non-coding RNA (RCOM_LNC001311)". The record is from RNAcentral. Lineage: Eukaryota; Viridiplantae; Streptophyta; Magnoliopsida; Malpighiales; Euphorbiaceae.